This 497-nucleotide ribosomal RNA is filed under the name uncultured bacterium. Its description in RNAcentral is "partial 16S ribosomal RNA". It matches the Rfam family "Bacterial small subunit ribosomal RNA", at positions 28 to 507 of the family's 1533-position model. The record is from RNAcentral.
GAUGAACGCUGGCGGCGUGCCUAAUACAUGCAAGUCGAGCGAACGGACGAGGAGCUUGCUUCUCUGAUGUUAGCGGCGGACGGGUGAGUAACACGUGGAUAACCUACCUAUAAGACUGGGAUAACUUCGGGAAACCGGAGCUAAUACCGGAUAAUAUUUUGAACCGCAUGGUUCAAGAGUGAAAGACGGUCUUGCUGUCACUUAUAGAUGGAUCCGCGCUGCAUUAGCUAGUUGGUAAGGUAACGGCUUACCAAGGCAACGAUGCAUAGCCGACCUGAGAGGGUGAUCGGCCACCCUGGCACUGAGACACGGUCCCGACUCUUACGGGAGGCCGCAGUAGGGAAUCCUACGCAAUGGGCGAAAGCCUGACGGAGCACCGCCGCGUGAGUGCUGAAGGUCUUAGGCUCGUAAAACUAUGUUAUCAGGGAAGAACAUAUGUGUAAGUACCUGUGCACAUCUUGACGGUACCUAAUCAGAAAGCCACGGCUAACUCCGUG